UACAGAGGGGGCCAGCGUUAUUCGGAAUUAUUGGGCGUAAAGGGCGCGUAGGCGGCUUUGCGUGCCUUUCGAGAAAUCCCUCGGCUCAACUGAGGACGUGCGGAAGAAACUGCAGGGCUGGAGUCCGGGAGAGGAGGGUGGAAUUCCCAGUGUAGCGGUGAAAUGCGUAGAUAUUGGGAGGAACACCGGUGGCGAAGGCGGCCCUCUGGACCGGUACUGACGCUGAUGCGCGAAAGCGUGGGGAGCAAACGGG
This 253-nucleotide ribosomal RNA is filed under the name uncultured bacterium. RNAcentral describes it as "partial 16S ribosomal RNA". It matches the Rfam family "Bacterial small subunit ribosomal RNA", at positions 524 to 776 of the family's 1533-position model. The record is from RNAcentral.